CAUCUUCUUUUCGGGGUUAAAUAUUGUCCUAAAAAUGCUUUUUGUAACUAAUUGUCUGCUUGGUCCAAAUAUUACUACUACUUUGUUGAUGUUGUUGUUUUUAGUUAGCAAUUUGGCCUUCAUAUGACGCUUAAGACUUCAAAUGAAACCAAACCACCACUUUAUCACCUUCCCAAUGCAGACUUUUUUGAACUGGUUUCAGAAAAAGCAAACGUCACUUCUGCCUCCAUCCACUUCUUCUCCCAAUAACAUCAAUAAUUUCUUUCUCUAUCUUCCUUUCUCUUUGUCUCUCUCUCUCAUCAUCAUCUCUCUCUCUCUCUCUCUCUCUCUCUCUCUCUCUCUCUCUCUCUCUCUCUCUCUCUCUCUCUCUCUCUCUCUCUCUCUCUCUCUCUCUCUCUCUCUCUCUCUCUCUCUCUCUCUCUCUCGAACUUCUUUCGUCUUCCUCUUCGUCUUCCUUCUCCCUCUUCUUCUUCGUCGUCCUCAAUGUUGUUUUGUUCUUUUGGUAUCUCACUGAAGGAAGAGACACAAAUGAUCCCUCACCACUACAACACGCCAUAGUCGAGUUUUACCACUGAGUUUUGAAUCUAACAAGGAUAGACACACUUUAGCAUAUGAACAAGGAUGGAGGGUAUGUACAGACUUCAAGCAGUAUCAAGUUUUAAAACAAAAUCCCUUCUGGUGAUGGCUAAAAUCUACUCGAGUUACAAAGUUAUAUGGUAGAUUACUAUAUAAUUUUAGCUUAUCUUAGAAUUAUAUUGUCAUAUUAAUUAUCGCAAGUGAUGGCCAUAAAAUUCAUGCUGCAAAACAUCUAUGAAAUCCAUCCAACGUUUUUUCCUAUUUGUUUCGUAUAUUGUAGCUUUGAACCAUCAUAAACUUUGGACAUUUGUGCUCCAAAAUGGUUGUUGCUGUGUUGUAUUUUCUGGUUUUUGCUACAUGUUUGGAGUGUUUUUUAUGACUUUUUCUUUGUUUCAGUUUUUUAGCACACUAAUAUUGUUACAAUUAUGCAUUUUAUGGCAAAUAACAAUUUCCUGCUUAGUGAAACUCUUGACGAAACUGUUAGUGCGUGUGAUUUAAUACGUUGUCGAAAUUAAAGGAUAUUUACCACCCCUUCUUUAAGACAAUAUGUGCCUUUGGAUGAGCAUUGUCUGAGUUUGCUGAGCAUUGUCUGAGAUGAUGUGAUGCAGGAGGAAUGACAAAGUGGUUGUCAUUGUUGCGUUCCAUGGUCUGGUAUUCGAAAUUGGGAGAAGUCGAGAAAAUUGCGAGAAUCUCUAAAGUAUGAAUUUUUUGUGAGUUGAUACUUAUAAUGUGAUUGUUCAUUCUGCAGUUUUCCAUUUAUGUGUACUAGAUUGCUUUAUAUUGGUAUACUUGUUGCACUGGAUAACUUCAUUUAAUGGUCACUUUACUGCAGGUUGAAAUAGAUAUAUGAGAUGCAUUGUGCUUAAAUAUGUUCUAACCAUUUUGUUGGUUUUUUUUAUACAAUUUUAUUUUGAUGAAGUUUAGUGGUAUCAAUGUGGAGCUGCUCCUGAUAUGGGUGGUCAAAUAAUUUUGCAUGCCAAUGGUGUUCUAAUUUUACAUGCCAAUGCUGUUUAAGAAUUUAUUGAUAUUGCAUAGGGUGUAAUGGGCUGUCCUGAAUUUAGGAUUUAAGCAUAUGGUGUGAGCUGUUUCUUUAAUUCAUUGAUACCUUUUUUCUUUAAUUCAUUGAUUUUAGGUAAAGGUUUUUACAUGGGAGAAUAAAUAGAAUGGGAAAAGACCCAAAGUGGGCCACUGCCAAAUGGUUUGCUAUCAAAUGAAGUUGCUUCUAUGAUACAGGUGCUUGACUCAGAGUAGUGGUCAAAGGCUGAACAGAGAACUGCGGAGCUAAUUGCUAGCACUAAGCCUAAUUCGCCUUGUGAGCGACGCCGAAAUGUAGUUGUUGAGUAUGUCCAAGAGCUGAUCACAAAGUGCUUCCUUUGGCAGGCAACAUCAGGUUCGUGACAAUGCUGCAAGAAUCAAACUUUGAAUGAUAGUUGGGCACAUCAGGUUUGUGACAUGCAUCAGGUUCCUGUCAUCAUUAAUGCCAUAGCCCAAUCAUUUACCAUAGUCAUGUAAAGUUUGAGUUUGAAUAUGAAUAAUAGGUUUUGCUACACUCAAUUGUUGAUGUCAAAGUAUCAUUUACCAUAUAUGGUGUUUUUAUAGCUAUUAAUCAAAACCAGUGUUAUAUAAUUAGCUUUUUGUGUUGAAUGAAUGAACAUAUAAUUAAUAAUGAGAUA
This is a long non-coding RNA of Vicia villosa (hairy vetch), 2249 nucleotides long. RefSeq lists it as uncharacterized. NCBI's taxonomy places the organism in Eukaryota, Viridiplantae, Streptophyta, Magnoliopsida, Fabales, Fabaceae. The record is from RefSeq and is a predicted model, not a curated record. The transcript is spliced from 3 exons.